Long non-coding RNA from Myotis lucifugus (little brown bat), 569 nucleotides. RefSeq lists it as uncharacterized. The transcript is spliced from 2 exons. Lineage: Eukaryota; Metazoa; Chordata; Mammalia; Chiroptera; Vespertilionidae. The record is from RefSeq and is a predicted model, not a curated record.
UUUUUUUUAAUGUAUCUUAUUGCUGAAAGUAUCACAGAUGUCCCCUUUUCUGCCCAUUGACCCCUCCACCCCAGCCCCGCCCCCCGGGUGUGUGUGCUUCUUGUCUCCUCCGCGCCUGCACGUUCACUCCUUGCCUUGAAAUCGUCGCCUAAGUUGUGGACGUUCUUAACAGUCAAGAAAGCCUGAGAGAAGCGCCAGCCUGUGGGGCUUUUGCUUGCUUUUUUACUUUUUUCCGAACUCGAGACCCGGGCCAGGUGUUGUAGGUAGGAAGGAAGGACGGACGGACGCUGUCUUCUGAUUCUCCCUCCCGUGCCUUCCCGGCAGAAGAGGAGAUUUGGACAUCCAAAGAAACACCAGGGACGUGCACACACAGCGGGAAGACUAUGCAAGGCACAGUGAGAAGGCAUCCAUCUACAAGCCAAGGAGAGGCCUCAUCAAAACCAAACUUGCCACACCUUGAUCUUGGACUUUCAGCCUCCAGAACUGUGAGGAAAUACAUUUUCUGUUGUUGAAAACACCCAGUCUGUUGAUAUUUUGUUCUGGUAAAACAAGCAAAUUAAUAGACAUUA